GGGGGCCACUACCCAUGCAAGUCGAACGGCAGCACAGAAGAGCUUGCUCUUUGGGUGGCGAGUGGCGGACGGGUGAGUAAUGUCUGGGAAACUGCCCGAUGGAGGGGGAUAACUACUGGAAACGGUAGCUAAUACCGCAUAACGUCGCAAGACCAAAGUGGGGGACCUUCGGGCCUCACACCAUCGGAUGUGCCCAGAUGGGAUUAGCUAGUAGGUGGGGUAAUGGCUCACCUAGGCGACGAUCCCUAGCUGGUCUGAGAGGAUGACCAGCCACACUGGAACUGAGACACGGUCCAGACUCCUACGGGAGGCAGCAGUGGGGAAUAUUGCACAAUGGGCGCAAGCCUGAUGCAGCCAUGCCGCGUGUAUGAAGAAGGCCUUCGGGUUGUAAAGUACUUUCAGCGGGGAGGAAGGCGGUGAGGUUAAUAACCUUGCCGAUUGACGUUACCCGCAGAAGAAGCACCGGCUAACUCCGUGCCAGCAGCCGCGGUAAUACGGAGGGUGCAAGCGUUAAUCGGAAUUACUGGGCGUAAAGCGCACGCAGGCGGUCUGUUAAGUCAGAUGUGAAAUCCCCGGGCUUAACCUGGGAACUGCAUUUGAAACUGGCAGGCUUGAGUCUCGUAGAGGGGGGUAGAAUUCCAGGUGUAGCGGUGAAAUGCGUAGAGAUCUGGAGGAAUACCGGUGGCGAAGGCGGCCCCCUGGACGAAGACUGACGCUCAGGUGCGAAAGCGUGGGGAGCAAACAGGAUUAG
RNAcentral lists this ribosomal RNA (751 nucleotides) under Pantoea dispersa. Its description in RNAcentral is "bacterial SSU rRNA". It matches the Rfam family "Bacterial small subunit ribosomal RNA", at positions 42 to 781 of the family's 1533-position model. The record is from RNAcentral. Lineage: Bacteria; Pseudomonadati; Pseudomonadota; Gammaproteobacteria; Enterobacterales; Erwiniaceae.